Ursus maritimus (polar bear) is the source of this 1613-nucleotide long non-coding RNA. Lineage: Eukaryota; Metazoa; Chordata; Mammalia; Carnivora; Ursidae. The record is from Ensembl.
GUACGACGACGAGGACAGCUCCAUUUCUGACUGCCUCCUGUCUUCUCGAGCCAGUUCCUGUAACCUUCACAAGGACUCUCUGCGCUGAGCCUCAGUCCCCCAUCUUACGAAUGAAGAAACCAAAGUGAGUUGAAAUAACCUCUAACCCGAGGUCAGAAAGCUAGACAGUGACAGAGAACAGAGCCAGGUUUCCAGUGCUCGGCCCUCAAACAAAUACUUCUGGAUUCCUCUAAUUGAUUUUUUUCACGUAGUCCAAGAAUGCAUCACGGCAAAAACUAGGCAGCUGGCUAUAUUUUUCAGAUGUGAUAUUUUACUCAUCGGGAAAGAGCAGUCCAUUGGUCAACUAUUAUUUGGGGUCGUCAUAGUCGAAUACGUUGAACUAACAAAGGGGAAACCUUUCUGUUUCCUGCUUUUCCAAAUUCACUGCAGAGAGGAUUCCAGAACCUGUCACCCAGCAACUCAAAGACCAAGUUGCAUUUGGGUGACAGAAAACAAAAGCCCGUCCCUUUCCAGGUGGUUCUGGGUUUGGAGAUUUGAGACCCCCGAGGUGGUGUGAGGCAGAGAGGGAUGAUAAAUGAUCCUGGGGUCUGGGCUUUCUCUCCUCCUGCAGCCCGGCCCUCAGGAGCAUGAGCCAAUGUUCCAGAGAGACGGAAAGGAGAUGGAGUUUGAGAGAGGCUGCCACCUGUCCCUGGGUAGUACGCAAGCUCCGUGCCAUUUAUGUCACCUAUCCCACAUCCACAAAUAUGUAAAAACCUCGGGAAAAUCGGCUCUCCAUUUUUCUCUGGGAAACUUGAUGUGAGCUUUGGAAGUCAAAAAAAAAAAAAAAAAAAGGCAGGGAUCCUCCUUCAUAUGCACAUUUUUAGCUCUUCUCUCUUUUGCAGAAUGGCUAACGCCAACUCAAACUAUUUCUGCAAAGAGUCGCUGGGGACAAAGUGGAGAUGUGGGUAGGCUCCUCGAGCUGGCUCUCAGAAGCAGCCGCCCCCACCCUGCAUGAUCGGAGCAGGAGCUCCUUGGAGCACUGGGAUGUGUGGACUGCGGCUGCGCAGACACUCAGUGCCACUGACCCUGUAGGCAGAGAACCGAGCUCUAGGGGGCCCUUCCUGCUUCCUUCCCUGCCCUGCAUGUUCCCCAAGAGCCAGUGGUGUGUGAAGCCCAGUCUGCAAAGCUGGGGAGACACCAGUGGACUACAAGUCUUGGCCCUCAAGAUGCAGCAGAGAGGAAGAGGAUUGGAAAGUAGAGAGAGAAUGAUAAAACCGUUGCUCUGUCUGUUAAUGCAAAUAAUUUAGCGGGUCGGGAAUGCGAAUUUGAGAGGGAACUUGAGGAAAGUGGCCAAAGCUGGAGGGGCACGUCAGGGAAAGAUCCUUCUGAGCCUUACAGCAUAUUUUCAGGUGUUGAAUGUUUCUGAGGGCAGUAAGGAGUCCUGGAGGUCUCCCAGCAGGGAGGCCCCCAACCUGCUCCUUGCUUCUCCUUACCCCAAUGUCUAUCCCACUCAGCGGACGUGUGCUUUCCUCAGCCUACGUCCUAGCUCCAUCCAAACAGGACGCUGCUCCUUGGCCCUCCCUCAGGCCUGGGGUGUGUAUACUGCUCACAGCUCAGCCUCCAAGAGUCCUGUG